CACCGGUGAAGAUAAUGACGGUAACCGGAGAAGAACGCCCCGGCUAACUUCGUGCCAGCAGCCGCGGUAAUAGAAGGGGGCUAGCGUUGUUCGGAUUUACUGGGCGUAAAGCGCACGUAGGCGGUACUUUUAAGUCAGGGGUGAAAAUCCCGGGGCUACAACCCCGGAACUGCCUUUGAUACUGGAAGUCUUGAGUAUGGUAGAGGUGAGUGGAAUUCCGAGUGUAGAGGUAGAAAUUCGUAGAUAUUCGGAGGAACACCAGUGGCGAAGGCGGCUCACUGGACCAUUACUGACGCUGAGGUGACGAAAGCGUGGGGAGCAAACAGGAUUAGAUACCCUGGUAG
Molecule: ribosomal RNA, 344 nt
Filed under: uncultured bacterium
Lineage: Bacteria
Description: bacterial SSU rRNA
Rfam family: Bacterial small subunit ribosomal RNA
Source: RNAcentral